AAACCAAAAUCCGACCCCAGCAUUAGCCACGGGGUAGGUUCUCCUCUCGAAGAAGGCAGGAUUCCUCUUCUGCCACCUGUGGA
Tupaia belangeri (northern tree shrew) is the source of this 83-nucleotide non-coding RNA. The record is from Rfam. NCBI's taxonomy places the organism in Eukaryota, Metazoa, Chordata, Mammalia, Scandentia, Tupaiidae.